Molecule: unclassified non-coding RNA, 168 nt
Filed under: Sagenomella humicola
Lineage: Eukaryota; Fungi; Ascomycota; Eurotiomycetes; Eurotiales; Trichocomaceae
Description: partial internal transcribed spacer 2
Source: RNAcentral
CUACCCCUCAAGCGCGGCUUGUGUGUUGGGCGCUGUCCCCCCCCCUUUUUGGGGGGACAGGCCUGAAAGGCAGUGGCGGCGUCGCGUCCGGUCCUCGAGCGUAUGGGGCUUUGUCACCCGCUCUGUGAGGAUCCGGCCGGGGCCUGUCUCACCCCCAAUCUUCUCUAA